ACGCACGCUGGCGGCGUGCUUAACACAUGCAAGUCGCACGGAAAGGCCCUGCUUUUGUGGGGUGCUCGAGUGGCGAACGGGUGAGUAACACGUGAGUAACCUGCCCUUGACUUUGGGAUAACUUCAGGAAACUGGGGCUAAUACCGGAUAGGAGCUCCUGCUGCAUGGGGGGGGUUGGAAAGUUUCGGCGGUUGGGGAUGGACUCGCGGCUUAUCAGCUUGUUGGUGGGGUAGUGGCUUACCAAGGCUUUGACGGGUAGCCGGCCUGAGAGGGUGACCGGCCACAUUGGGACUGAGAUACGGCCCAGACUCCUACGGGAGGCAGCAGUGGGGAAUAUUGCACAAUGGGCGGAAGCCUGAUGCAGCAACGCCGCGUGCGGGAUGACGGCCUUCGGGUUGUAAACCGCUUUCGCCUGUGACGAAGCGUGAGUGACGGUAAUGGGUAAAGAAGCACCGGCUAACUACGUG
Molecule: ribosomal RNA, 467 nt
Filed under: uncultured bacterium
Lineage: Bacteria
Description: partial 16S ribosomal RNA
Rfam family: Bacterial small subunit ribosomal RNA
Source: RNAcentral